GUCUACGGUCAUGCUACCCUGAACAAGCCCGAUCCCGUCUAAUCUUGGAAGCUAAGCAGGGUAGGGCCUGGUUAGUACUUGGAUGGGAGACCACCUAGGAAGACCAGGUGCUGUAGGUA
RNAcentral lists this ribosomal RNA (119 nucleotides) under Pteropus alecto (black flying fox). The record is from RNAcentral. Lineage: Eukaryota; Metazoa; Chordata; Mammalia; Chiroptera; Pteropodidae.